UUGGGCCUUGGCAACGGAAGGAAAGGAACAAUUUCAGAGGGAAGAUAUUCCGAAAGGGGAAUCUAUUCUUCACUUCACUUGAUCCACACGAAUACUCUCUCUUGCAAUCAAAAACCCUAACUUCUAUCUUCAUCAUUCACAAUCAUUACUAUAAGGUUUACUGUUAUGCUUGUGUGGUUUAUAUGGCUUACCCUGGUGUCCUGAACUCGUUAUACGCGGCUGCUGUUUGGAUUGCUUCAUACGCGCUUGUUGCAGUAAUUGGGUUGUUUCAGAUCUCCACUUUUAUUGGUUCUUCCAUUUUUAAUCGGUAAACCACUCUAAAGAGGAGAGAGAAAGAUCGAGAAAUGGUGAAAGAGAUGAUUCUUGAUGUUAUAGUUUGCGGCACAAAUUGACGGCUGCAUUCAGUGUGGUAAAGAGAACAAAAACAUGGUGAAGACCAAAGAUUAUGACGUUUGAGUGUUUUUUUUCUUUUGGUAUGACUUGUGUAUGUCUGCGUCCUAUGUUAACUAUUUACUCUUUUAACAAUCUUUCGAGUGUUUAUUAAUUGAUAUCGUUCAUGUACCUUAAACAACGCUUAUAGGCACAAACAUGCAAAUGUCGCCUCUUGAACUGAAAGAGAGCUAGUAACAUAAACAGCUUUUCUUCAA
Long non-coding RNA from Helianthus annuus (common sunflower), 647 nucleotides. RefSeq lists it as uncharacterized. The record is from RefSeq and is a predicted model, not a curated record. NCBI's taxonomy places the organism in Eukaryota, Viridiplantae, Streptophyta, Magnoliopsida, Asterales, Asteraceae. The transcript has 3 exons.